UGGGGAAUAUUGCGCAAUGGAGGAAACUCUGACGCAGCAACGCCGCAUGAGUGAGGAAGGUUUUCGGAUUGUAAAGCUCUGUCAGACGGGAAGAAUUCCGUGGGGUCCAAUAGGCCCUGCGAUUGACGGUACCGUCAAAGGAAGCACCGGCUAACUUCGUGCCAGCAGCCGCGGUAAUACGAAGGGUGCAAGCGUUGUUCGGAUUUAUUGGGCGUAAAGUGCGCGCAGGCGAGUUAUUAAGCCGGAUGUGAAAUCUCGGGGCUCAACCCCGAAACUGCGUCCGGAACUGGUAACCUAGAAUGAUGAAGGGGGAGGCGGAAUUUCGCAUGUAGGGGUAAAAUCCGUAGAGAUGUGAAGGAACACCAGUGCCGAAGGGGGCCUCCUGGGCAUCUAUUGACGCUGAGGCGCGAAAGCGUGGGGAGCAAACAGG
RNAcentral lists this ribosomal RNA (430 nucleotides) under uncultured Parcubacteria group bacterium. Its description in RNAcentral is "bacterial SSU rRNA". It matches the Rfam family "Bacterial small subunit ribosomal RNA", at positions 355 to 776 of the family's 1533-position model. The record is from RNAcentral.